RNAcentral lists this ribosomal RNA (1677 nucleotides) under Triticum aestivum (bread wheat). RNAcentral describes it as "partial small subunit ribosomal RNA". Lineage: Eukaryota; Viridiplantae; Streptophyta; Magnoliopsida; Poales; Poaceae. The record is from RNAcentral.
AUGGACUCCGCCCGGAGCUGGCUGCAGAAGCUGCAGAAGGACAAGGCCAGGCCGGGCGCGUCGCCACUCGGCGCCGGGAUGGCCGGGGACGACGAGGACGAGCCGGUGCUGUCCAGCGCCACCAAGCAGAAGGUGGAGGCCGCCAAGCAGUGCAUCGAGAACCACUACAAGGCGCAGAUGAGGUCGCUCCAGGAGCGCAAGGAGAGGCGUUGGAUGCUGGAGAAGAAGCUUGCUGAUGCUGAUGUAUCUGAAGAGGAGCAAAACAAUAUCCUGAAGGAUUUAGAAAAAAAGGAGACAGAAUACAUGCGCCUAAGGAGGCACAAAAUGGGCGUUGAUGAUUUUGAAUUGCUGACCAUUAUUGGGAGAGGUGCUUUUGGGGAGGUGAGACUUUGUAGAGAAAAAGCUACAUCCAAUGUAUAUGCAAUGAAAAAGCUCAAGAAGUCUGAAAUGUUACGAAGAGGCCAGGUUGAGCAUGUGAGAGCUGAAAGGAACCUCCUUGCAGAAGUUGAUAGUGCUUAUAUAGUUAAGCUCUACUGCUCAUUCCAAGAUGAUGAGUUUCUAUACCUCGUUAUGGAGUACCUUCCUGGUGGUGACAUGAUGACUCUGCUCAUGCGAAAGGAUACACUUACAGAGGACGAGUCUUCAUUUUAUGUUGCAGAGACAAUACUAGCAAUUGAAUCCAUUCACAAGCAUAACUAUAUUCAUAGGGAUAUCAAGCCUGACAAUUUAUUGUUAGAUCGAACUGGCCAUCUGAAGCUUUCAGAUUUCGGCCUAUGCAAGCCUCUAGAUAGUAGCAGCUUUCCAAAUCUCACUGAACUUGACAAUGCAGCGGGGAAUAUCACCAAUACAUCAGCAGAUGGUGAUAAGCUAUUAAGUAGCACUGCUGUUCCCAGGCGAACACAGCAGGAACAACUAUUGCAUUGGCAGAAGAAUCGCCGGAUGUUGGCUUAUUCAACUGUUGGUACACCUGAUUACAUUGCCCCGGAAGUCCUAUUGAAGAAAGGAUAUGGAAUGGAAUGUGACUGGUGGUCACUUGGGGCCAUUAUGUAUGAGAUGCUUGUGGGUUACCCACCAUUUUAUUCUGAAGACCCAAUGUCAACAUGUAGGAAGAUAGUAAAUUGGAGAAGCCAUCUUAAAUUUCCUGAAGAGGCCAGACUUUCUCCAGAAGCUAAAGAUCUAAUUAAUAAGCUAUUAUGUAAUGUGGAUCAGAGACUUGGGAUGAAAGGAGCACAUGAGAUAAAGGCUCAUCCAUGGUUUAGAAGUGUUGAAUGGGAAAAGCUAUAUCAAAUGGAAGCAGCUUUCAUACCUGAAGUUAUUGAUGAGUUGGACACACAAAACUUCGAGAAUUUUGAGGAGGCUGCGCCUACCAUGCAAACUUCAUCAAAGGCAGGUCCUUGGAGAAAGAUGCUUUCCUCCAAGGACAUGAAUUUUGUCGGUUAUACUUACAAGAACUUCGAAAUAGUGAAUGAUCCUGAACUUCCAGGAAUAGCUGAAUUAAAGAAGAAGAACAACAAACCAAAACGACCAACCAUCAAAUCAUUAUUUGAGUGUGCUGAAAGUGACGAUCAGCCUGAAGGCAGUCUUUUGGGCCCAUUGCCGCCUCAGCUAGAGUUGCCUGAGAGCCCCUCGCCUCAUUCCAGUAUCUCCUCCGAAGAUUCCCAAGCACAACACAGAUAA